This 484-nucleotide ribosomal RNA is filed under the name uncultured bacterium. Its description in RNAcentral is "bacterial SSU rRNA". It matches the Rfam family "Bacterial small subunit ribosomal RNA", at positions 28 to 500 of the family's 1533-position model. The record is from RNAcentral.
GAUGAACGCUAGCUACAGGCUUAACACAUGCAAGUCGAGGGGCAGCAUGGUCUUAGCUUGCUAAGGCCGAUGGCGACCGGCGCACGGGUGAGUAACACGUAUCCAACCUGCCGUCUACUCUUGGACAGCCUUCUGAAAGGAAGAUUAAUACAAGAUGGCAUCAUGAGUUCACAUGUUCACAUGAUUAAAGGUAUUCCGGUAGACGAUGGGGAUGCGUUCCAUUAGAUAGUAGGCGGGGUAACGGCCCACCUAGUCUUCGAUGGAUAGGGGUUCUGAGAGGAAGGUCCCCCACAUUGGAACUGAGACACGGUCCAAACUCCUACGGGAGGCAGCAGUGAGGAAUAUUGGUCAAUGGGCGAGAGCCUGAACCAGCCAAGUAGCGUGAAGGAUGACUGCCCUAUGGGUUGUAAACUGCUUUUAUAAGGGUAAUAAAGUGAGUCUCGUGAGGCUUUUUGCAUGUACCUUAUGAAUAAGGACCGGCUAA